Eptesicus fuscus (big brown bat) is the source of this 284-nucleotide long non-coding RNA. RefSeq lists it as uncharacterized. The transcript has 3 exons. The record is from RefSeq and is a predicted model, not a curated record. Lineage: Eukaryota; Metazoa; Chordata; Mammalia; Chiroptera; Vespertilionidae.
CAUCCCCUCUCACAUCUUUCAGUUCUGAUUUAGAGGAAACCUGUUUGUCCAAGAGUCAUCCAUCUCCAGACUGUGACAUCAGAAAUGGGAAUUUAUCUCUCAAUUGCUCAUUUCCAUUGCAUAGUAUCCUAUAUUAUGGAUGGAUAUGCCCCAGAACAUAGUUUCCAUCCUGACAUUUGGCUACAGUUAUUGCCACCAAUCUCAAGCAGAGGAAAGGCAUUCCCUGAAGUAAUGUGUCACGGUGCAAGUGUUGGCUCAAAGGAAAUUUUUCUUUAAUUAAUAUU